Molecule: ribosomal RNA, 422 nt
Filed under: uncultured bacterium
Lineage: Bacteria
Description: bacterial SSU rRNA
Rfam family: Bacterial small subunit ribosomal RNA
Source: RNAcentral
UGAGGAAUAUUGGGCAAUGCCCGCAAGGGUGACCCAGCAACGCCGCGUGGAGGAUGAAUGUCGUAAGAUUGUAAACUCCUGUUAGAGGGGAAGAAUAGUACCGGUUGGACCGGUAUAUGACUGUACCCUCAGAGAAAGCCCCGGCUAACUACGUGCCAGCAGCCGCGGUAAUACGUAGGGGGCAAGCGUUGUCCGGAUUUACUGGGUGUAAAGGGUGCUCAGGCGGAUUUGUAAGUCAGAGGUGAAAUCUUACAGCUUAACUGUGAAACUGCCUUUGAUACUGCAAGCCUAGAAUAUGGAAGAGAGUGAUGGAAUAUCUGGUGUAGCAGUGAAAUGCGUAGAUAUCAGAUAGAACACCAAUGGCGAAGGCAGUCACUUGGUCCAUUACUGACGCUAAAGCACGAAAGCGUGGGUAGCAAACA